Molecule: RNA transcript, 3957 nt
Organism: Triticum aestivum (bread wheat)
Lineage: Eukaryota; Viridiplantae; Streptophyta; Magnoliopsida; Poales; Poaceae
Exons: 2
Source: RefSeq, a predicted model, not a curated record
GAGAUCGCUGGGAGAAAAGAAAACGCGUCGUGAGCGGAGACAAAAGAGAGGGACAGAGUGCUCUCUUUUUCCUCCUCUCGCAUCUCCUUGUUUCCACCCCGACUGGCGGCUAGGGUUUCCGUCGGCGCCGCCACAGCCGCCGCUACCAUCCUUGCUCCGCCAUCUAUGGCCACCAGAGAAGGCGCCCUUCUGAGACCUGCUCUUGUUCAAACCUUCUCGUCUUGGCGUCAAGGCGUGCUAUUCUGCCUAUGUUUGCCACUGUGGCGGCGAGAUGAGGGGGAGGAAGGGAUGGCAUCGAGGUGUCGAUGGAGGCCCUAGCUCGAGGCGGCGAGAUGCAGAGAUGCGGGGUGGUGCGGAUGGAGAGGCAGCUUCAGAUCCGCGCGCAGCCGCCCGCACUCUCCUUCCUCUGCCGCCUUCCCUGUGGUCAGCAACCCUAGGAGGAGCUCGAGCCACAUCGGUGAAUGUUCUCUGCUAGGUUUGGUGCUACUACUCCGUCUUCGAUCCCAACCAUCUCGCACGUUCCCGAGAUCGUCGUCUUCCUGGCCGGGACGCCUGGUGAGAGCCUCUCUCCAUGCCCCAACUUCCUAAGCACAUACGUAUCUCCUAAUGGUGAAUCUUUGACUGAAUUUGUUACACACGACGUUUACUGAAACUGUCGUGGUCUGAAGAACAGCUUACUGAAAUUGUUCUAGUCUGAAAAACAGUUAUCUGAAUCUGUUGAAGUCUGAAAGUGUUAGUGUGAGCUGUCUGCAACUGUUGUAAUCUUGUAGACAGAGUAGGUCAGUUGAUUCAUCUCUUUUCAGCCUUAACAGAGAAGAUGGUGAUGAUAUCCGUUUGACUUAGCCCAUUUUGCUUGUGUUUGAAUAAUCUCUGAACAAAAUUCAGGUUCCAACAGUGGUAAAUUAAAUCUUGUUACUGCACAUGAUUUGUAUUCAGGUUUUCUACAUGACCCGUCGUAAUAUUAUGAUACAUUCUGUUAAAACCUGGCAAUGGUCUGAAACUGUUGUAGUCCUAUAGAAAGUAAAAGUAGUUGGAUGGGAAUAGUGUAUUUAUCAAAGCUAGUUGGACAUCCCUGUUCUUGAUUAAGAUAAUUCAGUUCGUCCAUUCCAUAUGUUUGCCGCUAGUAGAAAUUAUGGAAGCUAAAAGGCCAAAUCAAGCUCAGUCAUCUCAUUUUACCGCUAGUAGAUUUCAGACUUUUAUUAUGUUGUGCGCACACACACAUACAACACGUUCGGCACAGUCGCGGCGGCGGCACUGUCGGCUACUUAUCUGUACUCCUCACCAGAGUUUGAAGUGGCAGAGUGAGCUCGUUAGCAUGGCAUGAGAAGUGGUAUUUGAUAAAAUAAAGCAUGUCAGAUCAUGUCACUCCUUAGUACUUGUAUGGUUUAUUCACGUGUGAUGCUCCUCUUUGGCCAUUUGGCUGAGUGAGUAGAACUAGACGAAGUAAGGGCCGCGUGAACUGCACGGCCAUUUGUGCUGAAAAUUAAGUGGGCGCUGGUUCAGCAAGCAACGACCCAAUGUGUCAGUCUAUUUCAGAAAGAAGAGGUCCUGUUGGUUCAGUAAGCAAAACACUCGAGAGGUCCCUGUCUAUUUGAGAAAAAGGAAAGUGCAACAAAAAUGUCAAACAUCGCGUGCAUGGACUGGAUUAAUCUUCUGGCCUGCAUUCCAGCAUUUACCUCAAAUUUUGACCAGGAUGUAUGACUUUGUUAAACAGCAAUGUCCAGAUUGUGCAGCUUAGGUGUGCAUCAGUUUUGUUUUCAUCAGGCUUUACUUACUUCAAUUUAGUUUCAUUUUCGCAUUACUUCUUUUCGACAUGGGUUGGAGUGGGAGCUAUGAUAUUCUCUUUUGACGAUAUACGACUAUUUGAAAGAGUAUAAGCAAAUAAUUAUAUUUAGUACAAAUGCGAUAGGGGACAUGUGUUUGAACUUCCUCUGGUUUUGAGAGAGUUUAGCCACUCCAUAUAUUUCCUCUCUGGCAAGUCAUUUUGCCUAUGAUAUAUUGUAUCCCUUUCUUUCUAACCUGAAAGUUAGCAUGUCAAUUUUAAAUUAAUUAGAGCUCAUUUCUUCGCAUGGUUCACUGAUCCAUACUUAAAAAAUGAACUUCCAUUUAGUUCAUAAUGUGUUCUUGGCUUCUUGAUAACUGGAAAUAAGUGUCCUAUGUUUCUGCGUUUAAUGCAGUUUCCCAAUCGUAGAUUUUACUGAUGAAAUAAAUACGUCGAAAGGGGAUUGGACAUGUUACUGACUAAGGAGAUAGCGCUAAACUUUUGUAUUGAUUAUGUUGCUAUUUUCAUACUUCAGUCAAGUUCUUGCCUUAUGUGAUGGGCAGGUUAGUUUACACUUCCUGAAUGCCUCCGUAUUCUGUUAUGGCACUAUUAAAACUUCUAUCCCAUAGGGCACACAACAUUCAGAGGGAAAUUUGUCUGUUCUUAAUACCUUGCUUGUCCAUACGACUAUUGGCUUUUGUUGCCUGUGUAGUAUUUUUUUAAGUGUUUGUAAAUCAUAUAUAUUCUGUAAAUUGUAUAUUUUUUAAUAUUAAGGAACCCAAUUUUUGCGUCUCCAAUUGUAAAACUGACUCUCUCUCUGGAAUUAGGAGAUUAACUCAUUAUAUGCACAAUUUAACUUCUAAAUUAAUCUCCUUUUACAUGUGGUUUAAUUUCAAAAUACACGCAGUGUAGAUACGACUAAAUAUGUAUUGCACACAAUGGAAAAUAUUUGAUAUCAUCGAUUUCUUUGGAUGGGGUUGACAUUUGGGAGAUGCUACACCAUUGGUAAUGAUGACGCUUCAACAACUUACUUAGAUUAUUGUAAUUUCCAAGCAUUCAGUUAUCCUUCCGUAUAUCAUUCUGUACGUUUUGUGCCCGUUGACCAAUUAUUUGGCCUACAGGCCUACCGUGAGUGUCCCACACCUAUUUAGUAGUGUCCCUUCUGCUUACAUAUUGCAAGCAUAGUUCUUAACAGUCCACUUAUUCUUGCUGAAUGACAGGUUUGUGAUUCAUGGCAUUUGGCGCAUCUGCGCUUAAAUUCUUGCUGGAAUGGUAAACAACGAUUCCAUUUGGUACAUAACUGAACUUGAACACCCAUUAUGCAUCUGAUUUCUCUACACUUCAAUCAUUCGUGAUUGCUGGGAAGAUGAGUUUCAUAAUCUGCACAAGAAAUAUGAAAGAAAAGAAAGUCGGACUAGAUGUCUCCACCCACGCCUCGACUAUCGGGUUAUUCUCUGUUCUUUCUUUCCUUGUCCUCUUCUCUCUUCUAUAAAUUCAUCAAAUUUGAUUAUUCUAUUUAAGAACUAGAUAAAAUAGAAAUAUUCAUGUAUAGGACAAUCAUAUGUCAUGUUUGUCUUCAUAGUGCAGGUGAUGUAAUGCACCAUUUCACAAGUAAGAAUGGGACAAAGGCUACUACGCGCGCUCAAUAAAUUUUAUAGUUUUGGAUAGAAAAGGGGGAGCUGCAUAAGAAUUAAUUAUAGGGCAGUUGUAUGUGUGGAUACAGACACGGAAGUAAGGAAUGGUAUAUAAAUGAUAUCAUAUAAAUAAAUUGGUGGGCAGAAGUUGGUCUGAUUUUAUGGGAUUAAUUAAUCCUGUAUGUGCUUGCCAAUUUUGGUUAGUAAGUAUCAGGUAGCAGCUAUCUUUUCAUAAUCCUUCUUCCACUUCUUGAUGCACCUAUCUUUUGCUUUCAGGUUACCAUUAACAAAAUGAAGAAAACCAACAAUUUAUUUUUGUAGUAAACGGCAAUACGAUGUGAAGAUAUUCAAGAGAAUCUGGUCUUAUUUUUCUGAUCCCUAUGGUCCCUGUGAAGCAUCAACUAUAUCAGCAUUUUGAAGCUUAGAAUGGCUAAUGCUGAUUGUUUAGAGCUUAGUUAUAAUGAUUUCUUGUGCAUCAUGUUAUAUUGUACAAGUGAUUGCAACUGAUUUAUUUUCAGAGUUAUUAUUAUUUACAUGUAUAAGUUUAGGGCUGACCUUUUA